CAGUCGCCGCGGUAAUACAGAGGGUGCGAGCGUUAAUCGGAUUUACUGGGCGUAAAGCGUGCGUAGGCGGCUUCUUAAGUCGGAUGUGAAAUCCCUGAGCUUAACUUAGGAAUUGCAUUCGAUACUGGGAAGCUAGAGUAUGGGAGAGGAUGGUAGAAUUCCAGGUGUAGCGGUGAAAUGCGUAGAGAUCUGGAGGAAUACCGAUGGCGAAGGCAGCCAUCUGGCCUAACACUGACGCUGAGGUACGAAAGCAUGGGGAGCAAACAGGAUUAGAUACCCCAGUAGUCCCUGUCUCUUAUAU
This 301-nucleotide ribosomal RNA is filed under the name uncultured bacterium. Its description in RNAcentral is "partial 16S ribosomal RNA". It matches the Rfam family "Bacterial small subunit ribosomal RNA", at positions 509 to 809 of the family's 1533-position model. The record is from RNAcentral.